UUCUUGAUGGCUUAAUUGGUAAAAGCGUUUGGUUGUUAACCUUAAGAUUACAGGUUCAAGUCCUGUUCAAGAAG
Molecule: transfer RNA, 74 nt
Filed under: Osmundea sinicola
Lineage: Eukaryota; Rhodophyta; Florideophyceae; Ceramiales; Rhodomelaceae
Description: tRNA-Asn
Rfam family: tRNA
About the family: Transfer RNA (tRNA) molecules are approximately 80 nucleotides in length.
Source: RNAcentral